This is a long non-coding RNA of Eucalyptus grandis, 4083 nucleotides long. RefSeq lists it as uncharacterized. The transcript is spliced from 7 exons. The record is from RefSeq and is a predicted model, not a curated record. Lineage: Eukaryota; Viridiplantae; Streptophyta; Magnoliopsida; Myrtales; Myrtaceae.
AGCGGAACUAGUAAAUGAACUAGUAGAAAUUGUAACGCGCGAGCGGCAAAGAGAUUUUCAACCACGUCUUCCCAUGAACUUGGUUGGCAUUGAUGAUCAUGUGGCUAGUUUUAUGAAAUUGGCAGACACUACUUACCCCAAUACUCGAAUUAUAGGGAUUUACGGGAUAGGCGGUAUUGGUAAGACAACUCUGGCUCUGAGUCAUCUAUAAUAGACUUUUUGAUGAAUUUAAAUGCCGUUGCUUUCUCAAGGAUAUUAGAGAAACAAUAAAUCGCAAGGGUAUUGAGCAUGUGCAAUCUCGACUUAUCUCAGAUAUUUUGAAAAAAAUGACCAUCAAGUACCUAAUUCCGAUAUAGGAAUUCGAACAAUCCAAUCAAGUUGUACACAAAACAAGGUACUUAUUCUUCUUGACGAUGUGGAUAGUCAAGACCACCUCGAUAAUUUGAUUGGAGGUUGUAGUUUCAUGUCAGGAAGUAGAAUCAUCAUAACAUGUCGAGAUAAGGCCCUCUUGAAGUCUAAAUAUGAGUAUGAACUCGAAAAAAUGAAUUUUGAAGACUCUUUGCAUUUGUUUAGAAAAUAUGCAUUUGAAGGGAAAUCACCUCCAAAAGAACUCGCACUUCUUUCUAUUGAAAUUGUUAAAACCACGGGAGGGCUUCCCUUAGCUCUCAUGGUUAUAGGUUCACUCCUCAAAGGUAAAAAAGGGUCAAAGAGUAUGGAUAGAAAUGCUAAAUAAAUUGACAAAGGCACCUGAUAUGACAGUACAACAAAAGUUGAGGAUAAGUUACGAUGCGUUAGAACCUAAAGAACAACAAAUCUUUCUAGACAUAGCAUGUCUUUUUAUUGAACUGACCAAAGAUUUGCCAUCUACCUGUGGGAUGAUCUUGAAUUUUACCCACUAUCUGCAUUGGCGAAAAUGACUCAACGGUUGUUAAUAAAUUACGAUGAUAACAAUAAGUUGAGAAUGCAUGAUCAAUUAAGAGAUCUUGGUAGAGUUAUAACCCAUCCAGCAGACAAGAUGCCUUGGGAAUGCAGCCGACUAUGGGACAAGGAAGCCAUGAAAGUUCUAGGACGCAAGGAGACAAAUGAAUAUAUUGAGGCGCUACGUCUAGACAAAAAUGGCUCAAGUAAGUUCAUGGAGGAAGAGAGCUUUAAAAGAAUGCCCAACCUGAAGUUCCUUCAUUUGAAUGGAGUGGAUUUUGCUGGAGAUUUUAGAAGAUCACUUUCUGAAUUAAGAUGGUUAAAGUGGGAGGGUUGUCCCAACUCUUUCGAGGCAACCAAUGUUUAUUUGGAGAAAUUACUAUUACUUGACUUAUCAUGUGGUAAUAUUCAUGAUAAUUGGGGAGGAUGGAGUUCAAUCAAGAUGGAGAGGUUGAAAGUUCUCAAUCUUUCAUGGUGCUCAGAGUUAGAGAGAACACCUAAUCUCUCUAGGUUUAAAAGUUUAGAGAUGCUAAUCCUAGAAAAUUGUGAAAAUUUGGAGGAAAUCGACCCUUCCAUUGGAGAUGUUAAGGACCUCAUUGCCUUGAAUUUGAGGUACUGUGCGAGUCUCAAGAAGUUACCCGCACAAUUGGGAGAAGUGAAGGGCCUCGUCUCUUUGGACUUGUGGGCAUGUGAGAAUCUGCAAGAGCUACCUAGGGAAAUGGGCACAUUGGAAGAGCUUAAGGAACUUAAAGUAGGCUAGACUGCUAUAAAGGAAAUUCCUCCAUGUCACAAUUUGAAGAAGCUGGAGAUCCUUGAUGCCUAUGGUUGCAAAUCAUUGGUUGGACUUCCUGACUCAAUUAGUCAUAUGAAAAAUUUGUUGACCCUUGACUUGAGACGCUGCUUCAAGUUAUACAAACUUUCGGAUAGCGUCGGAUCUCUUGCGAAAUUGCAAUGUCUAUCGCUAGGUGGAAAGAGUUAUCCAUAUGGUAUUCACGAUGGCCGAGUUGAUUAUUGUCUCUAUCAUAUUCCCAAUUCAAUUGGGAAGUUGGAAUGGUUGAUUGAAUUGAACUUAUCAGAUACAGGCAUUCGCGAAUUAUUGCCGAAUCCAUUGGAGAUCUAAAAACUUGAAAAUUUUGAAUAUUGAUGGAAGUGAGGAUUUGAGUAAUUUACCUAGCACUAUAAGCAAGUUGGCCAAACUUGAAGAAUUACAUGCCUCACGCUGUGGAAGUUUGGGAGGAGAAAUUUCGAUAGAUGAGUUGUGCUCAUUGAAGAUCCUUGAAUUAUAUAAGACUCGCGUUUUCCGGCUUCUCUAACACACUUGAUAAGCUCUCUCGUCUUGAAAAACUUGAUUUAAAGGGCUGCAAGAUGCUUCAAUUGCUACCACAAGGCAUUAGUAAGUUACCUUCUUUGCUAUGCCUUCAAUUAACUUAUUGUGACAAACUUCAAUUGUUGCCAGAGCUUCCCGCAUGUUUGAUAGUUUUGGGAGUCACAUGUCAGCAUCACACAUUGCCUCAACUUUCUCACCUAAUCCUUCUAAAAGAGCUCAUUGUUGAGGAUUGCCGAUUGCUUGAAUCUGUGCCAGAGCUUCCCUCAAAAAUAUUGAAGCUGCAUGUCCGCGGGUGUGAUAAGUUGAAAGUGUUGCCGAAACUGUCCAGUUUGGAAUUCUUGUCGGAAUUAAUUCUCGAAAGGUGCUGUGAGCUGACAGAAAUCAAGGGUUUGGAAGCAUUAAAAUCCUUAGUAAAACUAAAUCUAUCCGGCUGCAGGAAGUUGUCAAACCUUGAUGGCCUUGAGCAUCUCAAAUCUUUGAGAUACUUGGAUAUGGGGUGGUUCUCUAAGUCGGAUGCUCCACUAGUGAAUGAUGAUCUAGUUCAAGUUCGAGGCCUUCACAAAUUGAAAAAAUUGGAAGAGCUGUAUAUAAGGGGCUGUCAGUCCCUUGUAAGACCGGACCUUUUGCAAUUAACACAUCUGAAGCGAUUAAUUGCUAGCGAAUGCCACAAUCUAGUCGAACUUAAGGGGCUCGAGGGAUUAAUAAACUUGGAAGAAUUGGAUCUCCAUGGGUGCAAAUCCAUUGAAACAUUACCAGACCUCUCGUGCUUGGAUAAGCUGAAAAGUUUGUUCAUUGGGCAUUGUUGGAAGCUUCAUAAUGUUAAGGGCUUGGAGAAAAUCGCAUAUGUGCAAAGACGGUAAAAGGAUUCAACAGCAAGGCCUCGGCAAAUUGCCCACUUCUGUUUAAUUUCGAAGAUUUGAUGGAAUGAUGGGAGUCAUUUUCGCAUGAAAUUGCGGAGACCACAGAGCUCCACGAAACAGGCCGUCUUUUCUUCCGGCUAUUGAAAGGGAUUCUUGGGCUUUUGUGGCUGCCUAUCUCCUGAACACUGGAAAACAUUUGUGAUUGCGGAGAAUUACGUGCAUCGCCACGUUGGAAGCUCAUGGCAAUUGGAACUUCGAUGGGGAUUGGGAUCGACCUUUCACUAGUCACCCAAAGAGAGCGCCUGAAUUGGGGGAGCUGGUCACAAUGGGAAUAAAUGCUGCGAGACCUUACUAUGAUAUGGGCGUUAUAUCUGCUAAAGAGAAGAAACUCAAUCACGAGAACUUGAUGAAGGUCGAGUACCAUAAUUUCGAGAAGGACAGCUUCUGCGGUGGGUGUGUUUCUGUCCUUAAGAAAGACGGUGCCACAGUGGACAGGGGUUGGAUUGUCUCUUGGAUGCAUAAUGAAGAAAUAGUUGUGUCCCAGACGUUUGAAGGCGAGCCAGUAGCCAAAAUCACUCUGCCUCAAAGGGUACCCUGUAGAUUCCUUGGUACCUUCGUCCUGAUAACGAAUUGAUGAUGGGGACACCAUAUCUUAUGUACAAAUCAUAGUAGGAGGCCUUACUUUUCUCAUCAGAUAAUAGGUUUUUUGCCUUUAGCAUGUGAUUUUUUUAUAACUUUCUAUGUCCAGUUUGUGGUAGUAUUUAUUGCUUAUAAGUAACUGUAUCCUCCCCGGAAAAGUAAGAGUUAAGAGGAACCGCACGGCUCUUUAAGCUACUGUAAUAAAAGUUACGCAUGUGUUAGCACGGCAUCGGAUAUUUGAGCCAUUGAGACUAUGUAAGCCUCUAUCCACCGACUCUACUACAAGGUCAUUGGCUGGAAUUUUAACUACUCAUCAAGUUCUAGAAUUUCUUCACAAAA